RNAcentral lists this ribosomal RNA (478 nucleotides) under uncultured bacterium. RNAcentral's name for it is "partial 16S ribosomal RNA". It matches the Rfam family "Bacterial small subunit ribosomal RNA", at positions 28 to 523 of the family's 1533-position model. The record is from RNAcentral.
GACGAACGCUGGCGGCGUGCUUAACACAUGCAAGUCGAACGGUAAGGCCCUUCGGGGUACACGAGUGGCGAACGGGUGAGUAACACGUGGGUGAUCUGCCCUGCACUUCGGGAUAAGCCUGGGAAACUGGGUCUAAUACCGGAUAGGACCCUGGGAUGCAUGUCCUGGGGUGGAAAGCUUUUGCGGUGUGGGAUGGGCCCGCGGCCUAUCAGCUUGUUGGUGGGGUGAUGGCCUACCAAGGCGACGGCGGGUAGCCGGCAUGAGAGGAUGACCGGCCACACUGGGACUGGGAUACGGCCCAGACUCCUGCGGGAGGCAGCAGUGGGGAAUAUUGCACGAUGGGCGCAAGCCUGAUGCAGCGACGCCGCGUGAGGGAUGACGGCCUUCGGGUUGUAAACCUCUUUCAGCACCGACGAAGCGCAAGUGACGGUAGGUGCAGAAGAAGGACCGGCCAACUACGUGCCAGCCGCCGCGGUAA